AAAAGAAACCAACGGGGAUUCCCAUAGUAACUGCGAGUGAAAUGGGAAGAGCCCA
Molecule: ribosomal RNA, 55 nt
Filed under: Escherichia coli
Lineage: Bacteria; Pseudomonadati; Pseudomonadota; Gammaproteobacteria; Enterobacterales; Enterobacteriaceae
Description: partial 23S ribosomal RNA
Source: RNAcentral